This 20-nucleotide unclassified non-coding RNA is filed under the name Rattus norvegicus (Norway rat). RNAcentral's name for it is "RNA (5'-D(P*P*P*P*)-R(P*UP*UP*AP*CP*GP*GP*CP*GP*GP*UP*P*P*P*P*... from Rattus norvegicus (PDB 7QGG, chain w)". Lineage: Eukaryota; Metazoa; Chordata; Mammalia; Rodentia; Muridae. The record is from RNAcentral.
UCAUCUACGGCGGUAGAUCU